UAACACCAUAGACUCAGAAACGCCGUCCAUACUUGGUUGUUCCUCCCGUCUCUCUCUUCUUCUCUUUUGGUGGACAAUAAACCCUAAUUUUUAUCCCAAUUAACUCCUGCAAUCUCCACUAUCAACUCCUUUCUUCUCCUAAUCAGGCCUAUCAAGUACCAAUAUAACUGAUAAAUUUUGGUUACUCUAUUUACCCCUACAAUUGCAGCUAAGGAGCUGCGCUGAGCAACACCAUGGUCUCCUAUGUAAAUUUGUGUGCCAGCAUUCAUAAAAUUUAUCAGAUACUGAAGUUUCCUUGCAGUGCUGAGUCGAGGCAAAAUUUUCUCAAAUAACAGUAUAACACCAUGAAAGUGUGUAAUUGAAUAGCUUUCUUUGAAACUCAUUCUAGCUGAAUAAAGUAACAACGAAGGAUACAUGAACACCAAUUAGAGUAAAUAUAUGGAGCAACUGUAAGGUACAGAACAAGAACUAUGACAAAAACUCAGAUACUAUCUUUUGUUCUAGAAAGAGAAAUUUCAUGUUCACUUCUAUUUCAUUUUAUCAGCAAGUAAUACAGAUAAACCUUAUGAAUCACAUAUGUAGCCAAUUAUAGUAUGAACCGAGCAGUGCAGCAUCAAGAGCUUACAUUUUAUUACAGACAUCGAGUAGGCUAGAGGUUUCAUCCGAACUUCCUAAAGUUGAGUCAUAAAACUUCCUAAACUUCUAUCGUCCUAAUCAUUAUUGUUUCUAAAAGGAUACAUGUUUCGUGGAUUGAUUAUUGCAGGUUUGUUCCAGAAAAUGGCAAGGACGUGCUAAGCAGAUUAUUUGUUAGGCUCACAUUUUAGUUAAUGAAGUAGCAUACAAUACUGAAUGAAACCAGGAUGCUUUCUGCUUCCUCUGAUGAUUUGUCCCUCUCUAUUGAACACCAUCAUGUAUAUUCUUUCUUUUUGUGCGGCAGUUGCGUUUUCUAGCAAGAUUUUGAAAUAGGGAAGUUCAGGGAUUCCUUUUAUUGCAAAGUUCAUAUUAGCAAUACCUAUGGCAGUCAUGGAUCAUGUAAUAACAUUUUCAUGAGGCUAUUUAAACUUACCUUCUCUUUCUAGAACCAGUUCGACUUUUGUUUAUACUCUUUGUAUUAAAU
Molecule: long non-coding RNA, 1117 nt
Organism: Papaver somniferum (opium poppy)
Lineage: Eukaryota; Viridiplantae; Streptophyta; Magnoliopsida; Ranunculales; Papaveraceae
Exons: 3
Source: RefSeq, a predicted model, not a curated record